Molecule: long non-coding RNA, 814 nt
Organism: Salvia hispanica
Lineage: Eukaryota; Viridiplantae; Streptophyta; Magnoliopsida; Lamiales; Lamiaceae
Source: RefSeq, a predicted model, not a curated record
UUUAAGGAGGCCCAAUCUUGAAAUAAAACUUAAAGCCCAAAAUAAUUAAAAUGAGAGCCCAUGACUUUAAAUAAUGAGAGAAAAUCCUACUCUCAUUCUCUCCUCUCAUUCCCUGCGCCUCCUCUCUCUCCCAACGUCUCUCUCACUCUACUCCCUCGGUUCUGCCGGACUGUAGCCGCCGGAGAUGGCCAGCCACGCCUCCGGCGAAGUCGCCGCCAACCUCUCCUCUCCUUCUUCUCCCUCGCUGCCCCUUUCACGGUCAGCCGCUGCCCAUCUUAGGCUCGGCCUUCAUCCGGCGACGAGCUGGUCCCACCAGCCGCCGCCUGCCACCACCGCCGCUGCAUACACGGCGGUCUCACCGCCGUCGCCAUCCACCGUCGACCGAGAGAGGAAAGGUUCUCACAUCCCUUUUAUUUAAUUUUUCUUACUAAAGAUUUGAUUUUGAAAACACAAAACUUAGUAUCUGAUUUCGAAAGUUGUAGAAACGGAUAUAUCGUGAAAAGAAGAUCGAAAAGAAAUCAAUUUUGUCGUCGCUCGCCGGAAAGUCGCCGGACAGCCGCCGGAGUGCCGUCGACGUCGCCGGGCAGAAUCUUCGGCUUGAGGAUCAUGAUUUGAAGAAAAAGGAUGGCAUCUAAAGAGUGUAGCUUUGGUUCUCCGAGAAGCCAUUAUUCUUCUUUGUAUAGAUAUAGAAACAUGUAGUAUUUUUCUCACUUGCAUAGUAUAGACUCUAUUAUGUAUAAAUAGACAUUCAAUAUAUACUUGUACUAUAAUUGUAUAUGGACAAUUAUUUCAUAAUUUCUUGUAUGUUCUUGCA